UAGGGAAGCCGUAGAGAAAUCGAGUCCGAAUAGGGCGAUCAGUCGCUGGGUGUAGACCCGAAACCAAGUGAUCUACUCAUGGCCAGGAUGAAGGUGCGGUAACACGCCCUGGAGGUCCGAACCCACUAAUGUUGAAAAAUUAGGGGAUGAGCUGUGGGUAGGGGUGAAAGGCUAAACAAACUUGGAAAUAGCUGGUUCUCUCCGAAAACUAUUUAGGUAGUGCCUCAAGUAUCACCAUCGGGGGUAGAGCACUGUUAUGGCUAGGGGGUCAUUGCGACUUACCAAACCAUUGCAAACUCCGAAUACCGAUGAGUGCGAGCUUGGGAGACAGACGUCGGGUGCUAACGUCCGGCGUCAAGAGGGAAACAACCCAGACCGCCAGCUAAGGUCCCAAAGAUUGGCUAAGUGGAAAACGAAGUGGGAAGGCUAAAACAGUCAGGAUGUUGGCUUAGAAGCAGCCAUCAUUUAAAGAAAGCGUAAUAGCUCACUGAUCGAGUCGUCCUGCGCGGAAGAUGUAACGGGGCUAAGCCAGUCACCGAAGCUGCGGAUAUUGUUCUGUGAUUUAUCACAGAUAGAUAUGGUAGGAGAGCGUUCUGUAAGCCUGCGAAGGUGUCUUGUAAAGGAUGCUGGAGGUAUCAGAAGUGCGAAUGCUGACAUGAGUAGCGAUAAUGGGGGUGAAAAGCCUCCACGCCGUAAGCCCAAGGUUUCCUGUUCAACGUUCAUCGGAGCAGGGUGAGUCGGCCCCUAAGGCGAGGCAGAGAUGCGUAGCUGAUGGGAAGCAGGUUAAUAUUCCUGCACCGUCGUAUGAUGCGAUGGGGGGACGGAUCGCGGAAGGUUGUCCAACUGUUGGAAUAGUUGGUUUUUGGCUCAUAGAAGGCGCUUAGGCAAAUCCGGGCGCAGGAUUCAAGGGGAUGGGACGAGUGAGCUUGCUCACGAAGCAAUCGGAAGUGGUUCCAAGAAAAGCCUCUAAGCUUCAGUCAUACGAGACCGUACCGCAAACCGACACAGGUGGGCGAGAUGAGUAUUCUAAGGCGCUUGAGAGAACUCGGGAGAAGGAA
RNAcentral lists this ribosomal RNA (1058 nucleotides) under Janthinobacterium psychrotolerans. RNAcentral's name for it is "bacterial LSU rRNA". It matches the Rfam family "Bacterial large subunit ribosomal RNA", at positions 658 to 1712 of the family's 2925-position model. The record is from RNAcentral. Lineage: Bacteria; Pseudomonadati; Pseudomonadota; Betaproteobacteria; Burkholderiales; Oxalobacteraceae.